This 364-nucleotide RNase P RNA is filed under the name Alphaproteobacteria bacterium. RNAcentral's name for it is "RNase P RNA component class A". It matches the Rfam family "Bacterial RNase P class A". Rfam says of the family: Ribonuclease P (RNase P) is a ubiquitous endoribonuclease, found in archaea, bacteria and eukarya as well as chloroplasts and mitochondria. Its best characterised activity is the generation of mature 5'-ends of tRNAs by cleaving the 5'-leader elements of precursor-tRNAs. Lineage: Bacteria; Pseudomonadati; Pseudomonadota; Alphaproteobacteria. The record is from RNAcentral.
CCAGAGGGCUGGAUGACCGCUGGAGGUGCAAGCCUCUGGAGGAAAGUCCGGGCUCCACUGAAAGCAUGGCGCCGGGUAACGCCCGGCGGGGGCGACCCCAGGGAUAGCGCCACAGAGAACAGACCGCCGCGUUCGCGCGGUAAGGGUGAAACGGUGCGGUAAGAGCGCACCGCGCUCUCGGUAACGAGAGCGGCACGGCAAGCCCCGCCAGGAGCAAGGCCAAAUAGGGACGGCAUUUGGGCUGCUUCAGGCUCGUCGUCCGGGUAGGCUGCGCGAGGCGUCCGGCAACGGGCGUCCCAGAGGAAUGGUCAUCCAAUCCCGGCAACGGGAGGGACAGAACCCGGCUUAUAGGCCCUCUGGCUCA